RNAcentral lists this ribosomal RNA (1294 nucleotides) under Staphylinidae sp. BMNH 1274206. RNAcentral describes it as "large subunit ribosomal RNA". The stretch from base 1050 to 1208 matches the Rfam family "Archaeal large subunit ribosomal RNA", at positions 2542 to 2701 of the family's 2987-position model. Lineage: Eukaryota; Metazoa; Arthropoda; Insecta; Coleoptera; Staphylinidae. The record is from RNAcentral.
CAGUUUAAUUUGAUUUUUUAAAAUUUUAUAAAAUAAUAAUUAAAAAAAAGAAUUUUUUGUUUUAUUAUUUUUAAGAAAUAAUUGAGUUAAUUAUAGUUUAUAGUAAAGUAAUUGAGUUAUUUAAAAUAAAAAAAGCUAAAUUAAUUUUUUGUACCUUGUGUAUCAGGGUUUAUUAAAAAAGUAUUAAUGAUUUAUUGUUCUCGAUUUUAAAAGUGCGGAUUAUUUUUAUAUUUUAAUGUUAAAUAAUUAUUUACAAAAAAUAAUCAGUAAUGAAAUGUUAUUCGAUUUUAAAGAUAUCUAGUUUUUAAAGAAAAAAAUUUAAUUUUAUAGGAUGAGAUAUUUAAUUUUUAUUAUUAAUUAUUAAAAAUUAAAUUUUUAUUGAUUUAUUUUACAUGGGAUAAGCUUUGUAAAAAAUUAUUAAAAAUAUUAGUAAAGAGUUUAGAUAAGUAGGAUUAGAAAUGUCAAUCAAAUAAUUUGUUAUUAUUAAUUAAAAUUAUAAAAAGAUUUUUAUAAGAGUUUUAAUAGUUUAUUUAAAUAUUAAAUUUAAUAGUUUAAUUUAGGAAAUUAUGAUAGAAUUAGUAUAAAUUAAUGUAAAGUUAUUAUUUUUUAUUAAGGUUUUAUAAAGGAAUUCGGCAAAUAUAUUUUUCGCCUGUUUAUUAAAAACAUGUCUUUUUGAAUAUAAUUUAAAGUCUGGCCUGCCCAUUGAAAAAUUUAACGGCCGCAGUAUUUUGACUGUGCUAAGGUAGCAUAAUCAUUUGUUUCUUAAUUAGAAGCUGGAAUAAAAGGUUGCACGAAAAAAUAUCUGUCUCUAUAAAAAUUAUUUAUAAAUUUAUUUUUAAGUUAAAAAGCUUAGAUUUUAUUAAAAGACGAGAAGACCCUUUAGAGUUUUAUAUUAGUUAAUAUUUAAAAUUUAUUGGAAAGAUUUUUUUUUAUAUUAAUUUAUAUUUUAUUGGGGUGAUAGAAAAAUUUAUUAAACUUUAUUUUAAUUUUUACAUUGAUUUAUGAAUUAUUGAUCCAUUAUUAUGAUUAAAAGAUUAAAUUACCUAAGGGAUAACAGCGUAAUUUUUUUUUAGAGUUCAAAUCGAUAAAAAAGUUUGCGACCUCGAUGUUGGAUUAAAAUUUUAUUUUGGUGAAGAAGUUAAAAUAGUAGGUCUGUUCGACCUUUAAAAUUUUACAUGAUCUGAGUUUAGACCGGUGUGAGCCAGGUCGGUUUCUAUCUUUAAUAAAAAUAGUAUUUCAGUACGAAAGGACCUUAUACUAUUAAAAUUUAAUUUAGAUUGAUUAUUAUUAGUUA